RNAcentral lists this ribosomal RNA (497 nucleotides) under uncultured bacterium. RNAcentral describes it as "partial 16S ribosomal RNA". It matches the Rfam family "Bacterial small subunit ribosomal RNA", at positions 28 to 507 of the family's 1533-position model. The record is from RNAcentral.
GAUGAACGCUGGCGGCGUGCCUAAUACAUGCAAGUCGAGCGAACGGACGAGAAGCUUGCUUUUCUGAUGUUAGCGGCGGACGGGUGUGUAACACGUGGAUAACCUACCUAUCAGACUGAGAUAACUUCGGGACACCGGCGCUAAUACCGGAUAAUAUUUUGAUCCGCAUGGUUCAAAAGUGAAAGACGGUCUUGCUGUCACUUCUCGCUGGAUCCGCGCUGCAUUAGCUGGUUGGUAAGGUCACGGCUUACCAAGGCAACGAUGCAUAGCCGAGCUGAGAGGGGGAUAGGCCACACUGGAAGUGAGACACGGUCCAGACUCCUACGGGAGGCAGCAGUAGGGAAUCUGCCGCAAUGGGCGAGAGCAUGACGGAGCAACGCCGCGUGAGUGAUGAAGGUCUUCGGAUCGGAAAACUCUGUUACUAGGGAAGAACAGAUGUGUAAGUAACUGUGCACAUCUUGACGGUACCUAAUCAGAAAGCCACGGCUAACUACGUG